RNAcentral lists this ribosomal RNA (390 nucleotides) under uncultured bacterium. RNAcentral's name for it is "bacterial SSU rRNA". It matches the Rfam family "Bacterial small subunit ribosomal RNA", at positions 30 to 425 of the family's 1533-position model. The record is from RNAcentral.
AUUGAACGCUGGCGGCAUGCCUUACACAUGCAAGUCGAACGGCAGCGCGGGGCAACCUGGCGGCGAGUGGCGAACGGGUGAGUAAUAUAUCGGAACGUACCCUGGAGUGGGGGAUAACGUAGCGAAAGUUACGCUAAUACCGCAUACGAUCUAAGGAUGAAAGCAGGGGACCGCAAGGCCUUGUGCUCCUGGAGCGGCCGAUAUCUGAUUAGCUAGUUGGUGGGGUAAAGGCCUACCAAGGCAUCGAUCAGUAGCUGGUCUGAGAGGACGACCAGCCACACUGGAACUGAGACACGGUCCAGACUCCUACGGGAGGCAGCAGUGGGGAAUUUUGGACAAUGGGCGCAAGCCUGAUCCAGCAAUGCCGCGUGAGUGAAGAAGGCCUGGUUC